UAUGCAGAGUGCAGCUAUGUUUUCCAUAGUUAGCAAUUGUAUCAAAAGUCACUCAAUACUCAUGCUGUUAUCUCAUAAUAUUACAUUAUUGGAGGAAUUGCUUGAAUAUACUAUCAUGAAGUCAUUUCAGUCACAAAAGUGGCUACUGUUCAAGUGAUGAACAAUGCCAAUACAAUUGGUAACUAAUCAAAUGUAGUCAUGCUAUUUAAGGGAAGACUAUUUUUCCUAGAACAGCAGAAUCUGGACAUGUGAAAUCUAUGAUGUAUCAAGUUGGUAGUAAGAGUGGCAAUAUUUUAAUACUUGUUCGUAGAAUAUAAAUGCAUUGCAUCUACUUUUAAGUAUAAAAGCAGAUAAAAAGUACCCUUGAGAGGUAAUGAAGCAAGUGCUGGGGCAGAAUAAAUAUGCUUUGGAAAGGGUAGAGCGUAUGCUUCCCCCUUUCUGGUUCUCCCAUUUGUCUUUCUGUAAUGUGUUGGUGGAGGAGCAGAAGAAAGUGAUAAAGUUGAUGUUCUUGUGAUUAGUGUGGUCUGGACAAGUCAUCAGGGAAUGUUUAAACCACUGAAUUAUUAAAAUAUUAUUCUGCCCACAACCAUGUAUUCAGAUGCUCAAAACGUGAUUUCUAAUGUUUUGUUCCUAUCAUUGAGUUAUGUUUGUUUCUGCCAGCAGGAGUCUCUAAUGUACGCAGCGCCUUUUCUGAAGUUGACAGCAACAUCAUGAUUAUGUUUAUUACCAUCUCUCUAUGACAAUAACCAGCUGUGAAUCCAUGAGGAAGAAAAAUACAAAUAUGGUCAGAAGACACAAAAGAGGAGGGCCUCCAUUAAACAGGUGGAUGGGGACCCGCAGAAGGCUUUGAGAAGGGCUGUGUUUUCAGGGCAGAGCUCGGUUUUACCUCUAUGCUGUGAAAUUAUUUAUACUACUGUGAAGUGGAUUUGAAAGUACUCUGAACCAACUGUACCUCAUGGUAAAGAAAUCCACAAAGUGCAGAACAGCAAUAAGUCGUUUCUGUUUCUUGGGACAGAAGAGAAAACCUGGAUAGAGGAGCAUUCUGCUUUCUUGAUACCAGAAAAUGCUGUUUGGGAUGCAGAGAGCACUGAGCAGGAGAGGAAAAAAGAGACAGAAAUAGUCGGUAAAUUCUUCCAAUUAGGCAAAAUUAAAAAAAAAAAAAAAAGUAAGGUCAAGAAAUGGAGAUCUUCUGUUGCAUUCAGAAGCCUUUGCUUUCAUUUCCCUCUUACUUUUUUGAAGGCGUUGGUGAAAAAAUAGUUCUGUUCUUCCUUACCAGAUCUGUCAUUAGUAGCUCUGCUUGUGCUACAACAAACUUGUUAAUAGGCAAAGAAAAUAAAAGACGGGUCAAAACAAGCCACUUCUGAAGAAAAAAGAAUGCAUUACUUGAAGUCAUGA
This is a non-coding RNA of Phasianus colchicus (ring-necked pheasant), 1395 nucleotides long. NCBI's taxonomy places the organism in Eukaryota, Metazoa, Chordata, Aves, Galliformes, Phasianidae. The record is from RefSeq and is a predicted model, not a curated record.